RNAcentral lists this transfer RNA (76 nucleotides) under Halobacillus sp. BAB-2008. RNAcentral describes it as "tRNA-Ala". Lineage: Bacteria; Bacillati; Bacillota; Bacilli; Caryophanales; Bacillaceae. The record is from RNAcentral.
AAUAGUAAACUAACAUGAUAUUUCAUACAUAACCUGACAGGUGAUUGUCAGGUUUUUUUGUGUGGAGAAACGGGAU